RNAcentral lists this ribosomal RNA (253 nucleotides) under uncultured bacterium. Its description in RNAcentral is "partial 16S ribosomal RNA". It matches the Rfam family "Bacterial small subunit ribosomal RNA", at positions 524 to 776 of the family's 1533-position model. The record is from RNAcentral.
UACGGGGGGGGCAAGCGUUGUUCGGAAUUACUGGGCGUAAAGGGUUCGUAGGUGGCCUGCUAAGUCAGACGUGAAAUCCCUCGGCUCAACCGGGGAACUGCGUCUGAGACUGGCGAGCUUGAGUGCAGGAGAGGAACGCAGAAUUCCAGGUGUAGCGGUGAAAUGCGUAGAUAUCAGGAGGAACACCGAUGGCGAAGGCAGGUCUCUGGGCCACUACUGACGCUGAGAAGCGAAAGCAUGGGGAGCGAACAGG